Molecule: ribosomal RNA, 245 nt
Filed under: uncultured bacterium
Lineage: Bacteria
Description: partial small subunit ribosomal RNA
Rfam family: Bacterial small subunit ribosomal RNA
Source: RNAcentral
AGAAUCAACGCUGGCGGCGUGCCUAACACAUGCAAGUCGAGCGAGAAAGUGGAGCAAUCCAUGAGUAAAGCGGCGCACGGGUGAGUAACACGUGACUAACCUACCCUCGAGUGGGGAAUAACUUCGGGAAACCGAGGCUAAUACCGCAUAACACCCACGGGUCAAAGGAGCAAUCCGCUUGAGGAGGGGGUCGCGGCCGAUUAGUUAGUUGGCGGGGUAACGGCCCACCAAGACGAUGAUCGGUA